GUGCCAGCAGCCGCGGUAAUACGGAGGGUGCGAGCGUUGUCCGGAAUCAUUGGGCGUAAAGGGCGCGUAGGUGGCGCGACAAGCGUGCGGUGAAAGCUCGGGGCUCAACCCCGAGUCGGCCGUGCGAACUGUUGUGCUUGAGCACUGUAGAGGCAGGCGGAAUUCCGGGUGUAGCGGUGGAAUGCGUAGAGAUCCGGAAGAACACCGGUGGCGAAGGCGGCCUGCUGGGCAGUAGCUGACACUGAGGCGCGACAGCGUGGGGAGCAAACAGGAUUAGAAACCCGUGUAGUCC
RNAcentral lists this ribosomal RNA (292 nucleotides) under uncultured bacterium. Its description in RNAcentral is "partial 16S ribosomal RNA". It matches the Rfam family "Bacterial small subunit ribosomal RNA", at positions 505 to 796 of the family's 1533-position model. The record is from RNAcentral.